Long non-coding RNA from Microplitis mediator, 375 nucleotides. RefSeq lists it as uncharacterized. The transcript has 3 exons. The record is from RefSeq and is a predicted model, not a curated record. NCBI's taxonomy places the organism in Eukaryota, Metazoa, Arthropoda, Insecta, Hymenoptera, Braconidae.
UUUAGUACCGAGUAGCUGCAAGCGCAAAGAGUACUCACUGCACUGGUAGUCCCACAUUCCAGAGGAAUCUCCCAUCAACUCAGCUAUCGGAAUGUUGGUACUGGGAAAACAGCUAAGGAAUGUCUUCAGUGUAAAAAUUGUCUAAUUGCGGGAUUUUAACUGAUGGAAUGGAGACAUUGGCUAUCUGGGAUGUCACGAAAUUAUGAAAAAUUAUUUAUUGCUGACUUACUACUUGCGCCUGCAUCUGGAACUCAGGCUCUAGGAGUUGGAGAAGUUGAAGGAGAAGUUGGAUUGCUGUGAAUUUAAAAAUAAAAAAUUUUAAUAAGAGAAUUAUUUAAAAUUAAAUUUUUUAACGAACCUGUAAAAUUUCAAAUU